AACGCGAAGAACCUUACCUGGUCUUGACAUCCACGGAAGUUUUCAGAGAUGAGAAUGUGCCUUCGGGAACCGUGAGACAGGUGCUGCAUGGCUGUCGUCAGCUCGUGUUGUGAAAUGUUGGGUUAAGUCCCGCAACGAGCGCAACCCUUAUCCUUUGUUGCCAGCGGUCCGGCCGGGAACUCAAAGGAGACUGCCAGUGAUAAACUGGAGGAAGGUGGGGAUGACGUCAAGUCAUCAUGGCCCUUACGACCAGGGCUACACACGUGCUACAAUGGCGCAUACAAAGAGAAGCGACCUCGCGAGAGCAAGCGGACCUCAUAAAGUGCGUCGUAGUCCGGAUUGGAGUCUGCAACUCGACUCCAUGAAGUCGGAAUCGCUAGUAAUCGUGGAUCAGAAUGCCACGGUGAAUACGUUCCCGGGCCUUGUACACACCGCCCG
Molecule: ribosomal RNA, 438 nt
Filed under: uncultured Escherichia sp.
Lineage: Bacteria; Pseudomonadati; Pseudomonadota; Gammaproteobacteria; Enterobacterales; Enterobacteriaceae
Description: bacterial SSU rRNA
Rfam family: Bacterial small subunit ribosomal RNA
Source: RNAcentral